GCGACGAUAGCUCAGUGUUAGAGCACUCCCGUUUGAGGGAGAGGCCGGAGGUUUGAUUCCUUCUCGUCGCUCCA
This 74-nucleotide transfer RNA is filed under the name Candidatus Thorarchaeota archaeon. RNAcentral's name for it is "tRNA-OTHER". It matches the Rfam family "tRNA". Rfam says of the family: Transfer RNA (tRNA) molecules are approximately 80 nucleotides in length. Their secondary structure includes four short double-helical elements and three loops (D, anti-codon, and T loops). The record is from RNAcentral. Lineage: Archaea; Promethearchaeati; Candidatus Thorarchaeota.